Rosa rugosa (rugosa rose) is the source of this 769-nucleotide long non-coding RNA. RefSeq lists it as uncharacterized. The record is from RefSeq and is a predicted model, not a curated record. The transcript has 4 exons. NCBI's taxonomy places the organism in Eukaryota, Viridiplantae, Streptophyta, Magnoliopsida, Rosales, Rosaceae.
CCGUCGCAAAACUUAAUUCUAUUUCCCUCACUAACAUCUCGAUCUGCAGCCCUAAAUAACCUCUCUCGCCCAACUCUCUAUCUCUUUCACGCCCAAACUCUCUCUCUGUCUCUCUUCUCGCCCAAGCUCGCCCAUGCCAAGUGCUCUCUCCCUCUCUAUCUCUCUUGCCCAAGCUCCGCAGCGCCUUGAACAAGACAUAGUCGAGGUCCGAAAGGAUCGUCAGAGAGAAAAAGAGAUGGUAAUUUGAAUGACAUGGUUACUGAGCAAUGGAUUCAAUUACAGAGACUUCAGCAGGCUCUUCUCCUUCUUCUUUAUUCCAGUAACCUUAUGCUUCCUAGAGCUGGUAUAUCCUUAGAUUUCUUUCAUAUGUGGCUUUGAGGAACUAAAGGUUUCCAUUCUUCAUUGUACCAUAUUGACAAGAUAAGCAAAAGGAGGAGAACAAAUUGGAGCAAGCUGCCGAGCCCCUUGAUACUACAAAAACCACCUGAUAAACUUGAGGACUCUUAUGAGUAUCUAUUUAAAGAGCUGAGCAAGUACAGAUGGAUCAUUCUCAGGCUAUAAUUAAAGAGUUGGUGUAUGUAAAGCAAUUGGAUAGGCAAGAAAUGGAUGACUUGAUGAAGCAAGAUGAGCUAGAAGUUGAAAGAAAGUUGAGAAAGCUUUGGCUGAUCUUUGUUUUUUAACGACCUUUGGUUGGUCUUAGAAUUGUGAUUGUUGGUUGGUUAUAGAUGAUGGGUUUCAUAAUAUUUUUCAAUUUAUGAUAUUUGCUGCA